Molecule: ribosomal RNA, 242 nt
Filed under: uncultured bacterium
Lineage: Bacteria
Description: partial 16S ribosomal RNA
Rfam family: Bacterial small subunit ribosomal RNA
Source: RNAcentral
UGGCGACCGGCGCACGGGUGAGUAACACGUAUCCAACCUUCCGUUUACACAGGUAUAGCCUUCUGAAAGGAAGAUUAAUCCCUGAUAGCAUAAAAAGUUCGCAUGUCUUUUAUUAAAGAAAUUCGGUAAACGAUGGGGAUGCGUUCCAUUAGAUAGUAGGCGGGGUAACGGCCCACCUAGUCCACGAUGGAUAGGGGUUCUGAGAGGAAGGUCCCCCACACUGGAACUGAGACACGGUCCAG